GACGAACGCUGGCGGCGUGCUUAACACAUGCCAGUCGAACGGAAAGGCCUCUUUCGGGGGGUACUCGAGUGGCGAACGGGUGAGUAACACGUGAGUAACCUGCCCUUGACUUUGGGAUAACUUCAGGAAACUGGGGCUAAUACCGGAUAGGAGCUCCUGCUGCAUGGUGGGGGUUGGAAAGUUUCGGCGGUUGGGGAUGGACUCGCGGCUUAUCAGCUUGUUGGUGGGGUAGUGGCUUACCAAGGCUUUGACGGGUAGCCGGCCUGAGAGGGUGACCGGCCACAUUGGGACUGAGAGACGACCCAGACUCCUACGGGAGGCAGCAGUGGGGAAGAUUGCACAAGGGGUGGAAGCCUGAUGCAGCAACGCCGUGUGCGGGAUGACGGCCUUCGGGUUGUAAACCGCUUUCGCUCAUGACGAAGCUUUGUGUGACGGUAGUGGGUAAAGAAGCACCGGCUAACUACGUG
RNAcentral lists this ribosomal RNA (467 nucleotides) under uncultured bacterium. Its description in RNAcentral is "partial 16S ribosomal RNA". It matches the Rfam family "Bacterial small subunit ribosomal RNA", at positions 28 to 507 of the family's 1533-position model. The record is from RNAcentral.